GCAGCCGAACCAUCUCCGCCGUAGAUUCCCGUCCUCCCACCGCCACGAGGAAGAACGGGGCCAAAACCCGACUCCGACCUCCCGCCGGGUACGACGGGCCUCCGGCGACCGGUCUUCUCUAUUCAACCCGGUCAUCGUCUUACGUGGCACCGAGGCCGAUACCGAGUCCAACACAUUCGAACUCUACUAUAAUGACGCCGCGGGGUCGGGGCUCCGACCACUUCCGCCCACCAUGUCCGAGCUUUUAAUGGGUUCGGGCUUCG
This 263-nucleotide long non-coding RNA is filed under the name Malus domestica (apple). Its description in RNAcentral is "long non-coding RNA (MDOM_LNC002472)". The record is from RNAcentral. Lineage: Eukaryota; Viridiplantae; Streptophyta; Magnoliopsida; Rosales; Rosaceae.